Molecule: transfer RNA, 98 nt
Filed under: Paractinoplanes ferrugineus
Lineage: Bacteria; Bacillati; Actinomycetota; Actinomycetes; Micromonosporales; Micromonosporaceae
Description: Actinoplanes ferrugineus tRNA-Ser
Source: RNAcentral
CAGCGUCCUGGCCGAGCGGCUCGGCAGCGCGCCGAUCGAACCGGCGCCGCGAGUCGAUCACGGCGAGCUGCCGAUGGUUCUCGGCGAUCCGACGCUGG